Molecule: long non-coding RNA, 945 nt
Filed under: Brachypodium distachyon (stiff brome)
Lineage: Eukaryota; Viridiplantae; Streptophyta; Magnoliopsida; Poales; Poaceae
Description: long non-coding RNA (BDIS_LNC001356)
Source: RNAcentral
GGUUUGUACGGCGAGAGAAGGCAACAGCAAACGAAAAUUAGCUCGGUCGAUGCAACGAAGAAUUACAAGCUAGUACUACAGCACACAAGCAGACACAGACACCUCCAUCGAUCGAUCCCCAUUAUUUUUUCUACACCACCAAGCGAGUCUCCAAGGUCUCCAACAAUGAGACGACAUCCCGCCCGUCAGUCCAGCGUAAGCACAAACUGACCAUAUUAUAUACGGAGUAUAUCUCCGUCGAAGGUACCGCAGCUACGACGCAGCAUGCUCGAGCGAGCUAGCAGCAGCAGCCGCCGCCGCCGCCUCCGUUGUUGUCGCCGUUUCCUCCUCCCCAGCCACCGCCGUAGCCGUUUCCUCCUCCGCGGCGGCCGCCGCUGCCGCUGCCGCCGCCAGAGCUUGUGGAGGUCUUCUUGGUGUCUCCGGCGCCGGUCCAGUCGGAGAUGAUGGUCUUGAUGAUGUUGCCCCUCUUGGGGUUCCUGUUCCCGUCCGUCUUCUUCGUCUGUCCGUCGCCCUUCCCGUCCAUGCCGCCGAUCCCGAAACGCGCACCCUCGCACUCACGGAGAAGCUAGCACGCGAGCGCAGGCAAAGGGGAGUGAGUGUGUGACAGUGUGAGCUUGCCAGCUUUGGAUGGGAGAUAGCCUUAUUAUAGGCUUUGAUGGCCUCCUAGAAAGCACUAGAUUAUUCUAGCAAGGUAACUAGCCCCGAUCGAUGACGACUAGUCGACGAGAGGUUUUGCACCAGCACCCCCAGCCGCCAAGGCCGCUGAGCCGCAGCGGUACUCCAGUAGCAUUAUUCCAUAAUGCAAGGGGGUUUAUUAGCAAGUGCUGUUGUGGCCACUGAAACACUCCACUAUCUGAGGCUCGAGUCGUGCGUGCGUAUUGGAUAGGACGGGACAAGUGGAUCGAGUGUCUCGCCUCGGGCUUUCCGUCCCUCGGUUGAAUCAUC